RNAcentral lists this ribosomal RNA (256 nucleotides) under uncultured bacterium. RNAcentral describes it as "partial small subunit ribosomal RNA". It matches the Rfam family "Bacterial small subunit ribosomal RNA", at positions 26 to 285 of the family's 1533-position model. The record is from RNAcentral.
AGGACGAACGCUGGCGGCGUGCUUAAACACAUGCAAGUCGAGCGGAAAGGCCCUUCGGGGUACUCGAGCGGCGAACGGGUGAGUAACACGUGAGUAAUCUGCCCCUAGCUCUGGGAUAGCUCCGGGAAACCGGGAUUAAUACCGGAUACGACCACCUUAGACAUCUUUUGUGGUGGAAAGAAUUUCGGCUAGGGAUGAGCUCGCGGCCUAUCAGCUUGUUGGUGGGGUAAACGGCCUACCAAGGCGACGACGGGUA